GGCUCUUCGCUCUCUUAUCGGGGCCGCGCAUUCAGUCUCUGUAGCCUGAUCUCUUCCUCACUCUUCUGCUCUUACAGAAUGGAUUGGUCUGCUGAAAGACAGGGGCUAGAAGAGGGGCCGACUCUGGUGGGAAAGGGAGCACGUGAGAACAGUCAGCUCGGGAGGCCAGGAGACCCAGAGCUCAGCCCUGAAGCUGGCGGACCGGAGCUGCCAAUUCAGCAGAGCUGUUAUCCACAGGAGGGCUGCUCUAAUAGGAGAUACCUGGUCAUCACACUUAACAAGAGGGACAGGAAUGCGACACAGAGAGAAGCCAGAGAAUGACUCCAGAAACAUGAUAUGGGCAAGUACAUCAUUCACUCUCGUAUUUGUUUAUCCAGCAAAAAAUUUUUGAGCAUCCAUUGUGGGCAGAGCUCUUCUCCUGGCACAGGAUAACAUAAUGUUGACUGUAGAUACACAUUCCAUAGUCACAGAUACACACUGCAUAGUCAUUCAAGCUAAGAGAGAUUAUUUAGAAUAAGUUGAUUCAAGAAGAGAUCUGAAAACAACUCCCCCUCCCGCCCCUGCCUCCCACCCCAGGAUUAGGCUUUUCAAAGGAGAAAUAAAAAUUGUCUACAUUUUUGCUUUCCUGUAUGAUCUUCACUAGUCCAGAUGGCUAUUGACCACUUGAAUUGUGAUUAAUCUGAAAUGAAAUGUGCCUUAAGCAUAAAAUGCACAUCAGAUCUCAUUAAACUCAGUAUGAAAAAAUGUGAAAUAUCUCAUUAAUACUUUUCCAUAAUGUACUCUUUUGGAUAUAUUUGGUUACAUAGAUAAAAUUAUAAUUACUUUCACCUGUUUCUUUUUAGUUUUUCAUAUGUACAGUUCUGACACAAGCUGGGUGUCCCACACGUUUAAUUCAAUUCUGACACGAUCUGGAUACCAGCAGAUCCCACGGGUCAAAGGCUCAGUGCCACAAGACUGACCCCAAUUCAGAUGCUAACCAGAAGUCCAGGUUGUCACUUGUGCUUUUGACCAACCGUCUGUAGAUUGGAGGUUUCCAUCACCCCCUUUUUAGAGUCAGUUAAUUUGUUACAGUAACUCACAAAACAGAGAAACAUUUUACUUAAUAGAUUACCAGAUUAUUAUAAAAUGUUAUAACCUAGGAAUAGCCAAGCGGAAGAGAUUCAUAGGGCAAAGUAUAUAGAAAUGGUGGGGAGAGUCCCUGUUCUCCCAGAAUCUCUAUACGUUCACCAACCUGGAUGCUCUCUAAACCCUGUCCUUUUGGGUUUUUGUGGAUGCUUCAUUAUAUGGGAACAAUUGAUUAAAUCAUUGGCCACUGGCCAUAAAUUCCAUCUCCAAGCCCUCUCUCCUCCCCAGAGGUCAGGGGGGUGGGAAGGAAGG
RNAcentral lists this long non-coding RNA (1377 nucleotides) under Capra hircus (goat). RNAcentral describes it as "lncRNA (ENSCHIG00000004742.1)". Lineage: Eukaryota; Metazoa; Chordata; Mammalia; Artiodactyla; Bovidae. The record is from RNAcentral.